CAGAGUGUAACAACUCCCUAUACCACUUGCAAACAUACCUAUUUUAGUGUUGCUUCGGCAGGCAGUCCCAGGGCUGGGACCGCGGCCGGCUCGUCCGGCGCCUGCCGAAGGACCUACACUCGUUGUUUCGUAGCACUCUGAGUCAUUACACAAACCAGUCA
RNAcentral lists this unclassified non-coding RNA (161 nucleotides) under uncultured fungus. RNAcentral's name for it is "sequence contains ITS1, 5.8S rRNA gene". Lineage: Eukaryota; Fungi. The record is from RNAcentral.